Molecule: unclassified non-coding RNA, 396 nt
Filed under: fungal sp.
Lineage: Eukaryota; Fungi
Description: partial internal transcribed spacer region
Rfam family: Eukaryotic small subunit ribosomal RNA (bases 1-46)
Source: RNAcentral
AAGUCGUAACAAGGUUUCCGUAGGUGAACCUGCGGAAGGAUCACUAAACACGUAUCCAACGUUAAACCCCCCGUGAACCUUCAGUGCGCUCGCGGCUCGCGCCCAGUGACCCGGUCGCCGGCCGUGUCGGCCUCUAGCGAUCGUGACUGCGCCAUUCGUACAGAGCUGGUGACACUUUCAGACACCAACAAGCAGAGGAAUGCCAGGCCACUUGCCUCACGCUCAAGCACAGUCUACGCAGAAGUCCCUGAAUCAAAACUGUUCGGCAAUGAUUUACCAGGGAUUGCUACCUUUUCUAAGAAAGUCCCCUCGUCACCUUUGCAUGAAAACGGGCCUGCGCUUAAUUGUGCGGCCACCAAACUCGAACAACUGUUAACAAUGGAUAUCUUGGUUCUC